GAUGAACGCUAGCGGAAGGCUUAAUACAUGCAAGUCGAGCGGUAGAUAAGACUUCGGUUUUAUUGAGAGCGGCGCACGGGUGAGUAACGCGUACAUGACCUACCCUUAAGAAAGGAAUAGCCCUGGGAAACUGGGAUUAAUGCCUUAUAGUAUUACUGAUGUUAGAGAUUGGUAAUUAAAGUUUCGGCGCUUAAGGAUGGAUGUGCGUCUGAUUAGCUAGUUGGUAAGGUAACGGCUUACCAAGGCGACGAUCAGUAGGGGGCGUGAGAGCGUGAUCCCCCACACGGGUACUGAGACACGGACCCGACUCCUACGGGAGGCAGCAGUAAGGAAUAUUGGACAAUGGGGGCAACCCUGAUCCAGCCAUUCCGCGUGCAGGAUGACUGCCCUAUGGGUUGUAAACUGCUUUUAGAUAGGAAGAAAGUGCGACAUUUAUGUUGUUUUGACGGUACUAUCAGAAUAAGGACCGGCUAACUCCG
This 479-nucleotide ribosomal RNA is filed under the name uncultured Saprospiraceae bacterium. Its description in RNAcentral is "bacterial SSU rRNA". It matches the Rfam family "Bacterial small subunit ribosomal RNA", at positions 28 to 505 of the family's 1533-position model. Lineage: Bacteria; Pseudomonadati; Bacteroidota; Saprospiria; Saprospirales; Saprospiraceae. The record is from RNAcentral.